UACAGAGGUCCCGAGCGUUGUUCGGAUUCACUGGGCGUAAAGGGUGCGUAGGUGGUGAGGUAAGUCGGAUGUGAAAUCUCCGGGCUCAACCCGGAAAUGGCAUUGGAAACUACCUUGCUGGAUGAUUUGAGGGGGGAUUGGAAUACUUGGUGUAGCAGUGAAAUGCGUAGAUAUCAAGUGGAACACCAGUGGCGAAGGCGAAUCCCUGGAAAAUACCUGACACUGAGGCACGAAAGCUAGGGGAGCAAACAGG
This 253-nucleotide ribosomal RNA is filed under the name uncultured bacterium. RNAcentral describes it as "partial 16S ribosomal RNA". It matches the Rfam family "Bacterial small subunit ribosomal RNA", at positions 524 to 776 of the family's 1533-position model. The record is from RNAcentral.